Cercocebus atys (sooty mangabey) is the source of this 1999-nucleotide long non-coding RNA. RefSeq lists it as uncharacterized. NCBI's taxonomy places the organism in Eukaryota, Metazoa, Chordata, Mammalia, Primates, Cercopithecidae. The transcript is spliced from 2 exons. The record is from RefSeq and is a predicted model, not a curated record.
UGGCCUCCCAGAGGGCUGGGAUUACAGGCGUGGGCCACCGUGCCCGGCCAAUGAACUCAGUUCUUUUAGGUUUUUAUGGAAGCACUUUGUAGACGUGAUUGAUUAAAUCAUAGGCCAUUGGUUUAUCAACCCACCCUUCAGCCCGUCUCUCUUCAGAGGUAGGUGGGAGCAUGGCACUGAAAGUUUCAAGCCUCUAAUCACAUGGUUGGUUCCCCUGGCAACCCACACCCAUGGGAGGCUUUCUGGGGGAUCACAAACCAUAAGUCAUCUUAGUAGCAUGCAAAAGACACUGUUGUCUUUCUGGAAAUUCCAAGGAUUUUUAGAACUAUAUGUCAGUAAACAGGAUGUAGACAAAAUGCAUACUUCACACUAUCAUAGGCAUGGUGACUGUAGACCAAAUAGAUACUUCCCAGUAUCAUAGGUAUGGUGAAUCCUGCACCGUAGACCAAGUACACACUUCACAGUAUCAUAGGCAUGGUGAAUCCUGCACCGUAGACCAAAUACACACUUCACAGUAUCAUAGGCAUGGUGAAUCCUGCACCGUAGACCAAAUACACACUUCACAGUAUCAUAGGCAUGGGGACUCAUGCACCGUAGACCAAAUACACACUUCACAGUAUCAUAGGCAUGGUGAAUCCUGCACCGUAGACCAAAUACACACUUCACAGUAUCAUAGGCAUGGGGACUCAUGCACUGUAGACCAAAUACACACUUCACAAUAUCAUAGGCACGGUGACUCAUGCACUCCUCUUAAAGGCAUCCAUGCUGAAUUGGGGCAUGUGACCUUCCUGAGAUUUCAUGGCUAAGCCAAACUAUCAAGGAGACAGUGUAGGGGGCAGGGGAAAACUUUCCCCUUUCACUAUGAAUGUUUGCUGAAAAUUAAUUGACCAAAGACAAACAGGAACAAAGGCAUAGAAAAAGUUUAACAUUCAAAGCACAGCAGAAUCGCAGGAGAAUAAUUACCCAGUAACUCAAUGGGAUGCGGAUGCUUAUAUACCCUUCUUUGUUGGAGGAAAGGGAGAUGGGGAGGCGUGGAUGAUUUUAGAGGGAUAGUAAAUGAUUUUUUGGUGGAUUCAUUGGACUUGGAGUACAUACAGUGGCUUGGGACAAAGUCUGUUGAAAAAGAGACAGUGGUUUGUGACUGAAGUCCGUCCAGGUGUGUUGACAGACUUGUCUGUCUUCCUGCAGUAUGAACUAAAUUAAUUAAAACACAGGGACUUUAGGCAGAUAAAUGAGUGUUAGAAUAAAGCUUCUUCCAGUGUGUGCUCGUCUCCAAGGGCCUUUAAUUUAAAAUAAUGGGCAUACCGGGGUGCCAUAUUUUAGGGUAGAAUUCUCUGGUCUCCUUCAGUGGGAGAGUGUAUGCCCAGAAAAAUGAGGAUUGGUGUAUUCAUGAGCAGUAUCAGAAUCACAGCCACCCAUAGAAUCUACAUUUGGUUAGAACAGUGGGCUCAAAAUUGUAGUUCAUCUCUUAUUAGCUGUGAUAUGAGUAACGUUAGUUCCAGUAGAUUUACAUUUCCUUGUUUAUAAAAUGCUAAAAAUGUUUGGAGGACAAAAUGAAACGUUUGAAAGCACCCCACCUCCUAAAAGUUAUCAAUAUGAAAGCAUUGCAAAGUUAUUAAUUAACAAGAAGUUUGGUUUAAUGUAUUGGCUGAGAAUUUGAUGAGUUGCUUGAAUUAGUGAGUCAAUAAAGCCAAAAAUAUUGUCAAUUAUUUUUAUGUAGGAAUAAGCAGUGUCACAAAAAAUUAGUCUGUUCAAUCUGAUUAUAUUAUUCUUUAAAACAGUAUAGAUUCAGUAUUGUUUAAAAUUUCAUUUUAAAAUCUAAUUUAGCCCAAGUAAUGAAAACUGACUAUGUCUAAAUAGUGGCUUCACUACUUACAGGGAAAGAGUGUAAAGUCCCUUAAUGAGAAAAUCCAUCUCCGUAGCAUAGUACCCACAUUCUCCUGGGUAGAUGAAUGUAUACUAAAUGCCCGACUCGAUUAAAAUCAUCAUGGCACCCUUA